This 440-nucleotide ribosomal RNA is filed under the name uncultured bacterium. RNAcentral's name for it is "partial 16S ribosomal RNA". It matches the Rfam family "Bacterial small subunit ribosomal RNA", at positions 338 to 795 of the family's 1533-position model. The record is from RNAcentral.
CCUACGGGAGGCAGCAGUGGGGAAUAUUGCACAAUGGGGGAAACCCUGAUGCAGCGACGCCGCGUGAGUGAAGAAGUAAUUCGUUAUGUAAAGCUCUAUCAGCAGGGAAGAAAAUGACGGUACCUGAGUAAGAAGCCCCGGCUAACUACGUGCCAGCCGCCGCGGUAAUACGUAGGGGGCAAGCGUUAUCCGGAUUUACUGGGGGUAACGGGAGCGUAGACGGAAGUGCAAGUUUGGAGUGAAAGGCGGGGGCUCAACCCCGGGACUGCUCUGGAAACUGUAUGGCUGGAGUGCAGGAGAGGUAAGUGGAAUUCCUAGUGUAGCGGUGAAAUGCGUAGAUAUUAGGCAGAACACCAGUGGCGAAGGCGGCUUACUGGACUGUAACUGACGUUGAGGCUCGAAAGCAUGGGGAGCAAACAGGAUUAGAUACCCUAGUAGUC